Molecule: long non-coding RNA, 1139 nt
Organism: Erinaceus europaeus (western European hedgehog)
Lineage: Eukaryota; Metazoa; Chordata; Mammalia; Eulipotyphla; Erinaceidae
Exons: 2
Source: RefSeq, a predicted model, not a curated record
UUUAAAAUGUCUUCUCUAGAACUGGACUUUACCUUAGGGAAGGUGAAGUUACUAAUAGCCCGGUUGCAUGGUUCAGGAGAUGGCGCAGCGGUUAAAGCACUGGACUCUCAAGCAUGAGGUUCUGAGCUCAGUCCCUGUCAGCACGUGUGCCAGAGUGAUGUCUGGCUCUGGCUCCUUCUCCCCCCUCCUCCUCCCCUUUCUCCUCUUCCUUUCCCUCCUCCUCCCCUUCCUCCUGCUAUCCCUCUCAUUAAUAAAUAAAAUAUAUUCUAAAAUAAUUUAAAAUCCAGUUGCAGACCAUUCUACUUACCUAAGUACAAAAGAUGCCAUUUCCCUGUCAACUUGUAAGUUUUAAGUCUCCAAAUUUAUAUUUUAUGUAUCAUUGUUUAAGCUUAGACAGAAAGUUGAAGAAGCAGUGCACUGACUGCCUCUGUCGACCUCUACUAGACUCACCAGCUUUUAACUCAUUUCUGCACUGUCUCAUCUAUGUUCUGUCAAACCUUAGCUUACAAACAUGAGCCUCUGAUCCUCUAAACGCCUCAGAAUGCGGGUGUUCUCCACACAACCCCGGUGUCAGUGUCACCAUUCAACACUCACACCAUAUUUACAGUUUGCAGAGUUCCCUCAAAGUAUCUCAAAAGAGAAUGGUCUUUGUUUUGUUUUUGUUUUUGUUUUCCUUCCUGACACAAGAUCGAGUCUUGGUUCAUGCACUUGGCAGUCACCCUGCCCUGGCUUCACUGACGCGCAGUAGCACUGCCCUCAGCGCUAUCUCCCCGUCUGCCGGACGAGUCAGUCGACGCUGAUCACUGCACAGUGCACCCUACCCUGAGCUUGUCUGCUAUUUGCUGUAUCACAUAAGAUGUGUGUGAGUGUUUCCACCAUGUUGUCAGUAAGCGCUGAAACAGGAGAAAUGUUAGUGAGCUCUGUGCCUGUGUUUGGCUUACGCGGCCUUAGUAUUAAGUACAUGCAUCAGUGUGUGGAGUGAGACUCGCUUCUCAACAUAGACAGUGCUGUUGGAGACAUAAAGGGAGUAUAUUCACGCCGUGGAAUGGAUUCUAAGCUCCACUGACUUCUGGUUGUUGUACUUGUCACUAUAAAAUACUAUAGUUUUGCUGUUAAUAAAACAUCAGUUUUGUGUAUAA